GACGAACGCUGGCGGCGUGCUUAACACAUGCAAGUCGAACGGAAAGGCCCUGCUUUUGUGGGGUGCUCGAGUGGCGAACGGGUGCGUAACACGUGAGUAACCUGCCCUUGACUUUGGGAUAACUUCAGGAAACUGGGGCUAAUAUCGGAUAGAAUAUCCUGCUGCAUGGUGGGGGCUGGAAAGUUUCGGCGGUCGGGGAUGGACUCGCGGCUUAUCAGCUUGUUGGGGGGGUAGUGGCUUACCAAGGCUUUGACGGGUAGCCGGCCUGAGAGGGUGACCGGCCACAUUGGGACUGAGAUACGGCCCAGACUCCUACGGGAGGCAGCAGUGGGGAAUAGUGCACAAUGGACGGAAGCCUGAUGCAGCAACGCCGCGUGCGGGAUGACGGCCUGCGGGUGAUAAACCGCUUUCGCCUGUGACGAAGCGUGGGUGACGGUAAUGGGUAAAGAAGCACCGGCUAACUACGUG
Molecule: ribosomal RNA, 468 nt
Filed under: uncultured bacterium
Lineage: Bacteria
Description: partial 16S ribosomal RNA
Rfam family: Bacterial small subunit ribosomal RNA
Source: RNAcentral